Molecule: ribosomal RNA, 818 nt
Filed under: Retiarius bovicornutus
Lineage: Eukaryota; Fungi; Ascomycota; Orbiliomycetes; Orbiliales; Orbiliaceae
Description: eukaryotic LSU rRNA
Rfam family: Eukaryotic large subunit ribosomal RNA
Source: RNAcentral
UGACCUCAGAUCAGACAAGGAUACCCGCUGAACUUAAGCAAUAUCAAUAAGAAGCGACAAAAGCUCAAAUUUGAAAUCUGGCGNNNNNNACGUCCGAGUUGUAAUUUGAAGAGGAGUCUUCGGCAGCGACCUUGAUCUAUGUUCCUUGGAACAGGACGUCGUAUAGGGUGAGAAUCCCGUACACGGUUGAUGGUCUGCUGUCAUGUGAAGUUCCUUCCAAGAGUCGAGUUGUUUGGGAAUGCAGCUCUAAAUGGGUGGUAAAUUUCAUCUAAAGCUAAAUACCGGCGAGAGACCGAUAGCGCACAAGUAGAGUGAUCGAAAGAUGAAAAGCACUUUGAAAAGAGAGUUAAACAGUACGUGAAAUUGUUGAAAGGGAAGCGCUUGCAACCAGACUUGUCUCGGGUUGAUCAACGUACCUUCUGGUGCGUGCACUCGGCCCUUGACAGGCCAGCAUCGGUUGGGACGGUGGGACAAAGACCUUGGGAAUGUGGCCGCCUUCGGGCGGUGUUAUAGCCCUCGGUGCAAUGCCACCUGCCCCGACCGAGGACCGCGCUUCGUGCUAAGAUGCUGGAGUAAUGGUUGUAAGCGACCCGUCUUGAAACACGGACCAAGGAGUCUAACAUUUAUGCGAGUGUUUGGGUGUCAAAUCCAUACGCGUAAUGAAAGUGAACGGAGGUGGGAGCCCGUGAGGGUGCACCAUCGACCGAUCCUGAUGUCUUCGGAUGGAUUUGAGUAGGAGCAUAGCUGUUGGGACCCGAAAGAUGGUGAACUAUGCCUGAAUAGGGUGAAGCCAGAGGAAACUCUGGUGGAGGCUCGCA